RNAcentral lists this long non-coding RNA (1233 nucleotides) under Mus spicilegus (steppe mouse). RNAcentral describes it as "lncRNA (ENSMSIG00000016063.1)". The record is from RNAcentral. Lineage: Eukaryota; Metazoa; Chordata; Mammalia; Rodentia; Muridae.
GAGGAACACAGAGAGACAGAGAGAGACAGACAGAGAGAUGCCCACGCCUGCCAAAGCUCCUUCUUUUUGCUUCCUCUCCUGACACCCUAUUUCUCUACAAUUUCCCCCUUCUGUUUAGAGCCACAAUCUCUUCUGAGUUACACCUGUGUAUUCAUGGGGCUGGUCUGGCAGUUACAGCUACUCCCCAGAAAUCUAGAAUUUGCAUUCUCUUAUCAUUUGAAUAUGUGCUUUUCUUAGAGCUGCUUUCAAGGCCUUUGAGUUAAAUCUCACUCACAACUCCUUAUUUAGAUCUUCCCUUUUUGUGUAAAUGGUUUCCUGGGAUUUCAACAGUUACUAAUCCCUGUUAGGCAGCAGCAGAAUGAAGAACGGGAAAGGCGUUUGUAAAAGCCUGGAGUGGUGGGCAAUUCAGAUACAUCUCCUAGGAGAGAAUUCAGAGGAGAGGAAGUUGGGAAGGCUUGAACAUGUACAACUGUUCCAUUGCUCUCACCUCAGAUGUACCCCCCUGUUGUCAUUUUGUUGGCUAUUUUGACAGUGACCUAAGUGGAAAAUGGGAUUGUUAACAGUACUUGCUUCAUAAAGAUGCUAUAAAAUUCCAGUGAAGCAAUUCUGGCAGGAAGUGCAGCACUGUGCUUGCUGCUCUGUGAUCCUCAACAAACACUGUCCACCUAUUGUUAUCAGAGUGUCAGCACUCCCGUUCUAGGAUUUCAGUCUCUCCCAAAGGCCUUUCUAAAUGAUUUCUAACGUCUGGGCUAAUGCACUAUGUGCUUCGUCUUAGGCUCAAGCACGGAGUGGAGGUUCAAUAGAUGAGAAGGCCAACCCCAGUCACGGCUUCUUCCUUGUACACAACUGGGAUAUCUGUUUGACUACUCAGAGAUCACAUGAGGUCCCCAACAGUGACAAAUUCUACAGACAAUGAAACGGAAGAAAAGCAGACACACUGUCAGAGGAAAUGGCAACCUACUGCAGCCAUCAUGCCAACCACUGCAGCUUUUCAACAACCGAACAAGCGGGAGAUUCAUGUAAGACUCAAAUAUAUCAUGCAUGUAGUUGUUUAUGGAAUGACUAACUGAAAUACACUCUUCCACUAAUGAGUUGAACUCACUGAGCAAUGUGUGUGAGAACAGCAUCGGCAGAUGGAAAACAGGAAUACAUACAUAACAUGGGAACACCCACAAACUGCUACGAUAUUCUCAAUGAAAUAAAGGAGCACAGCUGACAAGGGGUUUCUCUUAU